This 633-nucleotide ribosomal RNA is filed under the name Microbacterium sp. So1Pt_16. Its description in RNAcentral is "bacterial SSU rRNA". It matches the Rfam family "Bacterial small subunit ribosomal RNA", at positions 382 to 1024 of the family's 1533-position model. The record is from RNAcentral. Lineage: Bacteria; Bacillati; Actinomycetota; Actinomycetes; Micrococcales; Microbacteriaceae.
CCUGAUGCAGCAACGCCGCGUGAGGGACGACGGCCUUCGGGUUGUAAACCUCUUUUAGCAGGGAAGAAGCGAAAGUGACGGUACCUGCAGAAAAAGCACCGGCUAACUACGUGCCAGCAGCCGCGGUAAUACGUAGGGUGCAAGCGUUAUCCGGAAUUAUUGGGCGUAAAGAGCUCGUAGGCGGUUUGUCGCGUCUGCUGUGAAAUCUGGGGGCUCAACCCCCAGCCUGCAGUGGGUACGGGCAGACUAGAGUGCGGUAGGGGAGAUUGGAAUUCCUGGUGUAGCGGUGGAAUGCGCAGAUAUCAGGAGGAACACCGAUGGCGAAGGCAGAUCUCUGGGCCGUAACUGACGCUGAGGAGCGAAAGGGUGGGGAGCAAACAGGCUUAGAUACCCUGGUAGUCCACCCCGUAAACGUUGGGAACUAGUUGUGGGGUCCAUUCCACGGAUUCCGUGACGCAGCUAACGCAUUAAGUUCCCCGCCUGGGGAGUACGGCCGCAAGGCUAAAACUCAAAGGAAUUGACGGGGACCCGCACAAGCGGCGGAGCAUGCGGAUUAAUUCGAUGCAACGCGAAGAACCUUACCAAGGCUUGACAUAUACGAGAACGGGCCAGAAAUGGUCAACUCUUUGGACA